CAGGCCUAACACAUGCAAGUCGAGCGAGACCUUCGGGUCUAGCGGCGGACGGGUUAGUAACGCGUGGGAACGUGCCCUUCUCUGCGGAAUAGCCACUGGAAACGGUGAGUAAUACCGCAUACGCCCUUCGGGGGAAAGAUUUAUCGGAGAAGGAUCGGCCCGCGUUAGAUUAGAUAGUUGGUGGGGUAAUGGCCUACCAAGUCUACGAUCUAUAGCUGGUUUUAGAGGAUGAUCAGCAACACUGGGACUGAGACACGGCCCAGACUCCUACGGGAGGCAGCAGUGGGGAAUCUUAGACAAUGGGCGCAAGCCUGAUCUAGCCAUGCCCGCGUGUGUGAUGAAGGUCUUAAGAUCGUAAAGCACUUUCGCCAGGGAUGAUAAUGACAGUACCUGGUAAAGAAACCCCGGCUAACUUCGUGCCAGCAAGCCGCGGUAAUACGGAGGGGGUUAGCGUUGUUCGGAAUUACUGGGCGUAAAGCGUACGUAGGCCGGAUCAGAAAGUUGGGGGUGAAAUCCCGG
Molecule: ribosomal RNA, 519 nt
Filed under: Sulfitobacter sp. Gbf-Lam-12
Lineage: Bacteria; Pseudomonadati; Pseudomonadota; Alphaproteobacteria; Rhodobacterales; Roseobacteraceae
Description: bacterial SSU rRNA
Rfam family: Bacterial small subunit ribosomal RNA
Source: RNAcentral